UGGGUCCUGAAGAGAGUGGCCGUGCUUGGCUUGCAGAGCAGCUGCAGAUGGGCCAUGUCAGUUUGCAUCAAUAAAACGGAGGAGUCGACACAUUAGGGUGUAAGGGAGGGAGGGGUCACGGAGGCAAAGUGAUGUUUCACUGGGAAGAGAGGUUGGUCCCCCUAGACCUGGCAGAACUUCUUAUAUGACCUUUGCUUGCGAUGCUGCCACUGCGAGGGAGUUGAAGGCUUUGUUCAAAGACUAAUUCUCUCCAAAGUUUCAGAACAGACAAACCAGGAAUCAGUGUGAUCAAAACACAAUGAAGACAAAAGACUGGUUUCUUAUGGGUAUCUAGUUUUUAUUUUAUUAGGAAAUUUGGACAACAUUAUGGGAUAACUAAGAACACAAAAGGGAAAAAAGAAAACCAUGCCUGCAGGCAGGGAAAAGUAGAUCAAGGAAGGAGCCGCAUGGUGCUAUUCAGCUGGAUGUAUUCACAUCCACCAAACCAAACAUUAGGAAUCAAGAUUUCGUUCGGCUGAGUUUACUGAUGUGCACAAUCACUCAGGUACUGGGCUGCACACAGAAUUUUUCCAUUAGAUGUUUCCUUUUUAGAUGGGAAACUUUCCAGAUGAAGGGAUUUGUGGUACCAAAGAAAGCCAGGAAGAGGGUCCAGGACCAUAAAGUAGAGGAAAAACGGGUGAGAAGGUGGGAAAUCUUACCAACAGGAUGGGUACCAGCAGCACCCGAAGAGCAGCCCGUCUAGUGGCAGCACUGCUUGUGGCAGCUGCACUUCUGCUGGCAACAGCCCUUCCCACCGCCGCAGCCACACGAGUUGCAGCUGCAGGUGCGGCGGUGGCAGCAGACCACGGGGACGCUGCAGCAGCCCCCGCAGCAGCCGUAGCAGCAGGGGCAGCAGCUGGUGCAGCAGCCCACCCGGUAGCACCUGCAGCUGUUGCAGCCGCCGCAGCUGCCGCCGCAGCCGCCACCGCAGCCGCCGCCACAGCUGCCGCCGCAGCCGCCGCAGCCCCCGCCGCAGCCCCCGCCGCAGCCGCCACAACUUCCACAACCACAGCAGCCCAUGGUGUCGGUAGAGAGGACUCUGAGUAGAGAGGAGAGGUGAGCAGGGAGACUCAGGAGGUGAAGAGGGUCUGAUGCCUGCCUCCACCGAGGGCCCCUUAAAUACCAUCUCUGGGGAGAGAAGUGACCUAAGCCUCGAGGUCACGUCCCUGCUGUUGAUGCAGAUACCCAGAGUGGAAUCUCACAUGGCCUUGUGUACUUCCUUAGUGGAUCCUUCUCACUUAAAAAACUUGCUAAAUUUAGCUUUCUCUUGUCUUUUUAAAGCCAUCUUUAAAAAUAGAACAGGAAACAACUAUUAACCCCCUUUUCUCUCUAGGGAGUUGUAAAGGUCUGAAUGGACCAGAAUUCUUUGGCUGCUUUUACAUCUCUCAGCCCUGUCAGCCCAGGACAGAGAUUGUUCAUUCCCGAUUACCAGGUUGGAAAAACAUUGUUUCAGGGGAACAUUUUGAACUUGAAAGGGAAAUGGGAUUCCCGGUCACAUUAUUUCAUCCUGGGAUAAUUCCUCAUCCUCUACCGCAGGUUAGGACUCUGAUUCAGAAGAGAAUAGUCCUGUGUUAUCAGGGGUUACUCCAGGACAUGCUUUCAGUUAUGUCAGAUGAUAGAAGCACAUCCUAAG
RNAcentral lists this long non-coding RNA (1672 nucleotides) under Cervus hanglu yarkandensis (Yarkand deer). Its description in RNAcentral is "lncRNA (ENSCHYG00000016742.1)". Lineage: Eukaryota; Metazoa; Chordata; Mammalia; Artiodactyla; Cervidae. The record is from RNAcentral.